UGCUGGGUAAAGUGGGAAUAUUAGAUGGCAGUCAGACCAGGCUCGUACCCACCAGGCAAGGCUAUUUCAGGAGGCAAUUUACCUUUUUUCCCUACAAAUAAACACAACCAGAUAAUGACCCACACCUCCCAGUGCCAUUAAAAUACAUGCAUUAUAUUCCAUAACUCUUCCUCGUUUGUUUCCCAAAAGUAGCAUCACUGCCUGGGAAAGAGUAUCAAGACAUUACUCAAAAAUAGAUGAGCAGUACAAGAAAUGAAGGACAAGCAGAUGAGUAUAAAUAGCUUCCUGCAGGAAGCUGUCUGAAAACAUUGUGAUUAGAGUCAGUACAGCCACACAGACAGUGUGUGCAGCUGUCAUUCCUAUACUGAACACCUCAUUUGACACCCUAUGGUUCUGUAGCCCUUUGUCAGGUGAACAAAGUGAAGUUGUCAUUCACCUGAUAGAUCAGACAAUAGAGAAACCCCCCAGACAGAAACCUCUACUUGUUUCUGGCUGGGAAAAGUAAAUCUUUCCUUCUUUUGGAAUCCACAGAAAUACAGAUGCAAAAGCAGGACUCGGAAAAAUGAGAGAAGAUAAGGUAUUGUUCCUGCAAGCAGAACAUCCUGUCUUGGAGAUGGUGAUACCACAGCCUUCUCAAGCACCACCCUUGGGAUACAAUUUCUACUGCAUCAAUACAGCCACUGUUAGAGCAUGACUUCAAACCCAGCUCAUCUGCAGAGGUCCCGCUCGCCAAAUUUGGGCUGCUCCAUCUUCAUAAUUUAUUGAUCAUUGCACCAACCUGAACGUCCUCCCUAAUUUACUCAGCAUUGUUUUACUAGGGAUGUACUUGUCUCUCAGCCAUUAAGGAUAAUUUUGCAGCCUGCCAGGCGUAACACCCAUUUCUGCAGCCUGACUCCAGAGCUUUCAUUCGGAGCUGACAGCUGCUUUUUGACAUCUAUCAGUUAGUCAGUUCUUAAUCCACUCAGCAGUCACUCAAUAGCUAUUGUACAGCGCUCAUUUUUUUUUUCCUAAGUGCUUAAACAGAGACGGCAAACAAGUGUAUUUGAAUGCUGAAAAAACAGACUUAGAGCCUAAAUCCUGCAGUGUUAAAGAGCCUAAGCCCCACUGGUGCCUAAACACUUAUAAGCAUGCAGACU
RNAcentral lists this long non-coding RNA (1136 nucleotides) under Calidris pugnax (ruff). Its description in RNAcentral is "lncRNA (ENSCPUG00000002623.1)". The record is from RNAcentral. Lineage: Eukaryota; Metazoa; Chordata; Aves; Charadriiformes; Scolopacidae.